Molecule: ribosomal RNA, 1506 nt
Filed under: metagenome
Description: bacterial SSU rRNA
Rfam family: Bacterial small subunit ribosomal RNA
Source: RNAcentral
AGAGUUUGAUCCUGGCUCAGGACGAACGCUGGCGGCGUGCCUAAUACAUGCAAGUAGAACGCUGAAGAGAGGAGCUUGCUCUUCUUGGAUGAGUUGCGAACGGGUGAGUAACGCGUAGGUAACCUGCCUUGUAGCGGGGGAUAACUAUUGGAAACGAUAGCUAAUACCGCAUAACAAUGGAUGACCCAUGUCAUUUAUUUGAAAGGGGCAAAUGCUCCACUACAAGAUGGACCUGCGUUGUAUUAGCUAGUAGGUGAGGUAACGGCUCACCUAGGCGACGAUACAUAGCCGACCUGAGAGGGUGAUCGGCCACACUGGGACUGAGACACGGCCCAGACUCCUACGGGAGGCAGCAGUAGGGAAUCUUCGGCAAUGGGGGCAACCCUGACCGAGCAACGCCGCGUGAGUGAAGAAGGUUUUCGGAUCGUAAAGCUCUGUUGUAAGUCAAGAACGAGUGUGAGAGUGGAAAGUUCACACUGUGACGGUAGCUUACCAGAAAGGGACGGCUAACUACGUGCCAGCAGCCGCGGUAAUACGUAGGUCCCGAGCGUUGUCCGGAUUUAUUGGGCGUAAAGCGAGCGCAGGCGGUUUGAUAAGUCUGAAGUUAAAGGCUGUGGCUCAACCAUAGUUCGCUUUGGAAACUGUCAAACUUGAGUGCAGAAGGGGAGAGUGGAAUUCCAUGUGUAGCGGUGAAAUGCGUAGAUAUAUGGAGGAACACCGGUGGCGAAAGCGGCUCUCUGGUCUGUAACUGACGCUGAGGCUCGAAAGCGUGGGGAGCGAACAGGAUUAGAUACCCUGGUAGUCCACGCCGUAAACGAUGAGUGCUAGGUGUUGGAUCCUUUCCGGGAUUCAGUGCCGCAGCUAACGCAUUAAGCACUCCGCCUGGGGAGUACGACCGCAAGGUUGAAACUCAAAGGAAUUGACGGGGGCCCGCACAAGCGGUGGAGCAUGUGGUUUAAUUCGAAGCAACGCGAAGAACCUUACCAGGUCUUGACAUCCCGAUGCUAUUUCUAGAGAUAGAAAGUUACUUCGGUACAUCGGUGACAGGUGGUGCAUGGUUGUCGUCAGCUCGUGUCGUGAGAUGUUGGGUUAAGUCCCGCAACGAGCGCAACCCCUAUUGUUAGUUGCCAUCAUUCAGUUGGGCACUCUAGCGAGACUGCCGGUAAUAAACCGGAGGAAGGUGGGGAUGACGUCAAAUCAUCAUGCCCCUUAUGGCCUGGGCUACACACGUGCUACAAUGGUUGGUACAACGAGUUGCGAGUCGGUGACGGCAAGCUAAUCUCUUAAAGCCAAUCUCAGUUCGGAUUGUAGGCUGCAACUCGCCUACAUGAAGUCGGAAUCGCUAGUAAUCGCGGAUCAGCACGCCGCGGUGAAUACGUUCCCGGGCCUUGUACACACCGCCCGUCACACCACGAGAGUUUGUAACACCCGAAGUCGGUGAGGUAACCUUUUGGAGCCAGCCGCCUAAGGUGGGAUAGAUGAUUGGGGUGAAGUCGUAACAAGGUA